GUCCCGAAAAAUAAAGCUGUCACACACAGCAGCGGUCCCUGAACCCUCGUACGUGAGAGGGGGCCGACCCCGCGGCGUGGCAAGGGCACAGGAAAGCAUAAUGGCGUGUGGGGAGAUGGGACUUAACGUGAGCAAACAGUCCGUGAUGAAGUGCUUGAAUCCAACAAUGAAUGGUGGUUCCUUCUGA
Long non-coding RNA from Gallus gallus (chicken), 187 nucleotides. RefSeq lists it as uncharacterized. The record is from RefSeq and is a predicted model, not a curated record. Lineage: Eukaryota; Metazoa; Chordata; Aves; Galliformes; Phasianidae. The transcript is spliced from 2 exons.